AGGCUUUGAUCCUGGCUCAGAACGAACGCUGGCGGCAGGCUUAACACAUGCAAGUCGAGCGAAGCUUUUGGGCUUAGCGGCGGACGGGUGAGUAACGCGUGGGAACGUGCCCUUUGGUACGGAAUAGUCCUGGGAAACUGGGUUUAAUACCGUAUAUUCUCUACGGAGGAAAGAUUUAUCGCCAAAGGAUCGGCCCGCGUUGGAUUAGGUAGUUGGUGGGGUAAUGGCCUACCAAGCCGACGAUCCAUAGCUGGUUUGAGAGGAUGAUCAGCCACACUGGGACUGAGACACGGCCCAGACUCCUACGGGAGGCAGCAGUGGGGAAUCUUAGACAAUGGGGGCAACCCUGAUCUAGCCAUGCCGUCGUGAUCGAUGAAGGCCUUAGGGUUGUAAAGAUCUUUCGCUGGGGAAGAAUAAUGACGGUACCCUAGUAAAGAAAGCCCCGGCGUACCAUCCG
RNAcentral lists this ribosomal RNA (457 nucleotides) under uncultured Paracoccaceae bacterium. RNAcentral describes it as "bacterial SSU rRNA". It matches the Rfam family "Bacterial small subunit ribosomal RNA", at positions 8 to 507 of the family's 1533-position model. The record is from RNAcentral. Lineage: Bacteria; Pseudomonadati; Pseudomonadota; Alphaproteobacteria; Rhodobacterales; Paracoccaceae.